CCUACGGGGGGCUGCAGUGGGGAAUAUUGGACAAUGGGGGCAACCCUGAUCCAGCCAUGCCGCGUGUGUGAAGAAGGCCCUCGGGUUGUAAAGCACUUUCAGUGAGGAAGAACGCCUGGUGGUUAAUACCCAUCAGGAAAGACAUCACUCACAGAAGAAGCACCAGCUAACUCCGUGCCAGCAGCCGCGGUAAUACGGAGGGUGCGAGCGUUAAUCGGAAUUACUGGGCGUAAAGCGCGCGUAGGUGGCUUGAUAAGCCGGUUGUGAAAGCCCCGGGCUCAACCUGGGAACGGCAUCCGGAACUGUCAAGCUAGAGUGCAGGAGAGGAAGGUAGAAUUCCCGGUGUAGCGGUGAAAUGCGUAGAGAUCGGGAGGAAUACCAGUGGCGAAGGCGGCCUUCUGGACUGACACUGACACUGAGGUGCGAAAGCGUGGGUAGCAAACAGGAUUAGAUACCCUGGUAGUC
This 465-nucleotide ribosomal RNA is filed under the name Vreelandella stevensii. RNAcentral describes it as "partial 16S ribosomal RNA". It matches the Rfam family "Bacterial small subunit ribosomal RNA", at positions 338 to 795 of the family's 1533-position model. Lineage: Bacteria; Pseudomonadati; Pseudomonadota; Gammaproteobacteria; Oceanospirillales; Halomonadaceae. The record is from RNAcentral.